GCGAGGACCAUCUCGCAAGGCUAAAUACUAACCAGUGACCGAUAGUGAACCAGUACCGUGAGGGAAAGGUGAAAAGAACCCCGGGAGGGGAGUGAAAGAGAACCUGAAACCGUGUGCCUACAAGUAGUCAGAGCCCGUUAACGGGUAAUGGCGUGCCUUUUGUAGAAUGAACCGGCGAGUUGCGUUAGUCAGCAAGGUUAAGUCAGAAAAGACGGAGCCGUAGCGAAAGCGAGUCUGAAGAGGGCGAGCAGUUGGCUGACGCAGACCCGAAACCAAGUGACCUACCCAUGACCAGGUUGAAGGC
Molecule: ribosomal RNA, 304 nt
Filed under: Lactobacillus delbrueckii subsp. bulgaricus
Lineage: Bacteria; Bacillati; Bacillota; Bacilli; Lactobacillales; Lactobacillaceae
Description: partial 23S ribosomal RNA
Rfam family: Bacterial large subunit ribosomal RNA
Source: RNAcentral